RNAcentral lists this ribosomal RNA (235 nucleotides) under uncultured bacterium. RNAcentral describes it as "partial 16S ribosomal RNA". It matches the Rfam family "Bacterial small subunit ribosomal RNA", at positions 96 to 334 of the family's 1533-position model. The record is from RNAcentral.
UGGCGGACGGGUGAGUAAUGUCUGGGAAACUGCCCGAUGGAGGGGGAUAACUACUGGAAACGGUAGCUAAUACCGCAUAACGUCGCAAGACCAAAGAGGGGGACCUUCGGGCCUCUUGCCAUCGGAUGUGCCCAGAUGGGAUUAGCUAGUAGGUGGGGUAACGGCUCACCUAGGCGACGAUCCCUAGCUGGUCUGAGAGGAUGACCAGCCACACUGGAACUGAGACCCGGUCCAG